UUGAAAAGCCCGAGAGAGUGUGGGAUUGAACCCUCCGGGACCUACGGAGUGGGGAGGCAAGGUAGAGCCAGUUGUGCAGAGAGGGAGAAGCAGUGAGAUCCUGGAGCCCAGCUGAAAUGAACUGGCCUCCUUGAGCGGUCCCAAGCCCGGGUGCCAGGCCUGUGUCCCAGCACUGAGGGAGAAGGACCAUUCCUCCAGGAGUGCAAGUCGAGUGCGAGCCCUUGUCUGGGACUGCCCCGAAUGGAGUACACCCCUGCGCCCACAGGAUUAAUCUUCAGUCCCAUUGCUGCCUGUGUC
This is a non-coding RNA of Leptonychotes weddellii (Weddell seal), 297 nucleotides long. The record is from RefSeq and is a predicted model, not a curated record. NCBI's taxonomy places the organism in Eukaryota, Metazoa, Chordata, Mammalia, Carnivora, Phocidae.